UUCAAACUCGGACACCAUUUUAAAGACAGACAAGAAGGAAGAGGGAGUAAAAGAAAGAAUAAAACUGAAAAAAGAACGGAGGACAACAGCAGAGACAGUUUCCACAGGACAGACGUUCAACUAAAGAACUAAAUUUAACAGAGGGACAACAGCAGAGACAGUUUCCACAGGACAGACGUUCAACUAAAGAACUAAAUUUAACAGAGGUAAGCUCUAGUAGCCCCUUCACAUAAGCUGUCUUUCUUUCCAUUUGAAAGGGGGACAGUUCACUUUGUCAUAGGA
This is a long non-coding RNA of Anguilla rostrata (American eel), 282 nucleotides long. RefSeq lists it as uncharacterized. The transcript has 3 exons. Lineage: Eukaryota; Metazoa; Chordata; Actinopteri; Anguilliformes; Anguillidae. The record is from RefSeq and is a predicted model, not a curated record.